Molecule: ribosomal RNA, 460 nt
Filed under: uncultured Methylomirabilota bacterium
Lineage: Bacteria; Methylomirabilota (SeqCode)
Description: bacterial SSU rRNA
Rfam family: Bacterial small subunit ribosomal RNA
Source: RNAcentral
GGGCUUGACAUCCCACGAACCUGCCUGAAAGGGCGGGGUGCCCGCAAGGGAGCGUGGAGACAGGUGGUGCAUGGCUGUCGUCAGCUCGUGUCGUGAGAUGUUGGGUUAAGUCCCGCAACGAGCGCAACCCUCACCCCUAGUUGCCACCGGGUAAUGCCGAGCACUCGAGGGGAACUGCCAGCGUCAAGCUGGAGGAAGGCGGGGAUGACGUCAAGUCAUCAUGCCCCUUACGCCCUGGGCUACACACGUGCUACAAUGGCCAGUACAAAGGGAUGCGAGACCGCAAGGUGGAGCUAAUCUCAAAAAGCUGGUCUAAGUUCAGAUUGCAGUCUGCAACUCGACUGCAUGAAGGAGGAAUCGCUAGUAAUCGCGCAUCAGCACGGCGCGGUGAAUACGUUCCCGGGCCUUGUACACACCGCCCGUCACACCACGAAAGCUGGCUGUACUCGAAGUCGCUGAG